This 253-nucleotide ribosomal RNA is filed under the name uncultured bacterium. RNAcentral describes it as "partial 16S ribosomal RNA". It matches the Rfam family "Bacterial small subunit ribosomal RNA", at positions 524 to 776 of the family's 1533-position model. The record is from RNAcentral.
GACGAGGGAUCCUAGCGUUGCUCGGAAUUAUUGGGCGUAAAGCGGGUGUAGGUGGCUUGGUAAGUCGGGUGUGAUAGCCCAGGGCUCAACCCUGGAAGUGCAUUCGAUACUGCUGAGCUUGAGUACUAGAGAGGUUACUAGAAUACCUGGUGUAGUGGUGAAAUACGUAGAUAUCAGGUGGAACACCGGAGGCGAAGGCGAGUAACUGGCUAGACACUGACACUGAGACCCGAAAGUGCGGGGAUCAAACAGG